AGGCGACCGCUGUUGGAGUUCGAUUAAGCCAUGCGAGUAGAAUGAAAUUAGAUUCAUUGCAAACUGCUCAGUAACACGUGGAUAACCUGCCCUAUGCUCUGGGAUAACCUCGGGAAACUGAGAAUAAUACCGGAUAGAUCACAACGCCUGGAACGGUGUGUGGUUGAAAGGUUACGGCAUAGGAUGGGUCUGCGGCGUAUCAGGUCGUAGGGGGUGUAAUGGACCCCCUAGCCAUCGACGCGUACGGGUGUUGGGAGACAUAGCCCGGAGACGGAUUCUGAGACACGAAUCCGGACCCUACGGGGUGCAGCAGGCGCGAAAACUUCACACUGCAGGAAACUGUGAUGAGGGAACUCCAAGUGGAUGCACAUAGUGUAUCUCUUUUCUUUACUAUUAAUCGGUAUUGGAAUAAGGGCUGGGAAAGACCGGUGCCAGCCGCCGCGGUAAUACCGGCAGCUCGAGUGGUCGUCGCUUUUAUUGGGCCUAAAACGUCCGUAGCCGGUUUGGUAAAUCUGUGGGUAAAUCAACUAGCUUAACUAGUUGAAUUCUGCAGAGACUGCCAGACUAGGAACCGGGAGAGGUGUGGGGUACUCAAGGGGUAGGGGUAAAAUCCUGUCAUCCUUUGAGGACCACCAGUUGCGAAGGCGCCACACUGGAACGGAUUCGACGGUCAGGGACGAAGCCUAGGGGCACGAACCGGAUUAGAUACCCGGGUAGUCCUAGGUGUAAACGCUGUGAACUUGGUGUCGGGAGUCCGCAAUGGGCCCCCGGUGCCGGAGUGAAGAUGUUAAGUUCACUGCCUGGGGAGUACGGUCGCAAGGCUGAAACUUAAAGGAAUUGGCGGGGGAGCACUGCAACGCGAGGAGCGUGCGGUUU
Molecule: ribosomal RNA, 876 nt
Filed under: uncultured euryarchaeote
Lineage: Archaea; Methanobacteriati; Methanobacteriota
Description: bacterial SSU rRNA
Rfam family: Archaeal small subunit ribosomal RNA
Source: RNAcentral